This is a long non-coding RNA of Oxyura jamaicensis (ruddy duck), 1820 nucleotides long. RefSeq lists it as uncharacterized. NCBI's taxonomy places the organism in Eukaryota, Metazoa, Chordata, Aves, Anseriformes, Anatidae. The transcript is spliced from 2 exons. The record is from RefSeq and is a predicted model, not a curated record.
AUCCUUAAGGUCCCUUCCAGCCAAAACCAUUCUAUCAUUCUCUGAGCUAAUCUCAUAGCCUGGAAAGAAGCCUUUGUGAUGGUCACUUUUAAUGCCCUGUCUGUUUUCACUCUCAGGGAAUGCUGGACUCCUCAGGUCAGCAGAAACUCAACUGUGUGGUGCUGCGAGGUGCUGCGGCCCAGGUCCUCUAUGGUUCCUACCUUCAAAGAAAUCCAGUGCCUGUGAAGGUUUACUCAGGCUAAUCAGCAAAGAUAUGCCAACAAUUAAACCCAGAAGAACAUCCCAGCUGUGCACAUGAUGUGUGUGUGCCUGAACACAUUGUUGCACAUUGCAGGCAUUUUUAGCAAGAAACAGAUGCCCAUACUUUUGUAAAUUCUGUGUGAAGGACAAUGACACUUUUCCCAGUAAGUUUUUGUUCAAAGUAUUAAAGGUUUGUAGUUUUAGAGCUUUUAAACCUGAUUUUUUUAUCCAAUUCAAUUUGACAUUUCUAUUUUCUUAUCCCUGAUAAAUUAGCUUUCCUAGCUAAAUGUAAAAUUUACCAUUGUGAAGCUUAAUGUACUGUGCUAAAUAUAACAUUCUUAACUAUCCAUGUUUUUCUUUCUUGAAACAUAAGCCUUAAGCAUUUAACGUACAUCCCUUCAUCAGCAUAAGAUACUGAUUUGUCAGAGGCAAGUCAAGCCUGUUGUAGCUCUUGACACACAUGGCAGCAAGACUGAACUCAUCUCUCAUGGUCUCUGAAACUCUGAUUUCGGAAAAAUGGCAACGAUACCACUGAACACUGUACCACUGAAUAUUGAAAUUACUUUUUCCCCAUAAAAAUUGACAUUCUGGUUUUUAGUAUUCAUAUAGCUAAAAACAUAAAUAAUUGUUUAAGCAGUUAGCAGAUGGCUGCCUCAAGUUUUCUGCCAUAUUGGAGACUGAUCUGUCCUGUAAUCUACAAGUAUUUUCUGAAAAAUCAGAAGCAAAGACAAACUGAAUUAAAAAGUCAGGACAGUGAAGUUACACAGUACAGCAUUUACCCUUUGAUUUUUUGAAAGAAAGAUAUGUCAUGCAUGCAUGCUCCUACACAGCCCUGGAUAUGAUCCUGAAACUACAAACCAUUUGCUUAUUUAAAGCUCUGUGCAGCUAACAAUGCUGCAGGGCUAGUAAAUCCUACCAAGCACUCUUUGAGAUUCGUGUUUAUUUACUGGUGGAGGUAAUGUACCAUACUUGUGUAUCCAUGACAACACUGUAACAUGCCAGAGCAGCACUAGGUCUUUUCUUGCUACUCCAAUAUGAGAUUAAAAUUAAGAGGCUAAAUCUUAUUAAAUAGCAGAAGCUUUUCAGAAGAUAAAACAUAAAGUUUAUGGGAGCAUAUGAUAGUUGUCCAUGGUACUAUAUUUGUGCUAUUUCAGUGCUUUCGUUAGGUUCAUCCGCUGAUUGUAAAUAGCACUGAAUGGUGGGCAUACCAGGAGAGAUAAAACUUUGCAGUUCCUUCUGGAGUUCUUAAUGCAGGAACAUGGCUCAGCAGUGUCAAGCUUGAACUGCUAAGAAUAUCCAUUUUAAAGAGUAUUAAAUUGGAUCAUACUGUAAUUUCUGUCUUUUCUGGAAAGGUGUUUCUGGUUCUUAACUAUUUUUCGUUCACAUGAAAAAUACUUUGAUUAAGAAUGUUAUGUAAUCCAGUGGAUUAGUAAUGUAAUUGCCUAUUUAUAUUUAUGAAUCCAUGCGUUCUCUCAGUGCAUUUGUUUUUGUUAUGGCAUUGAUAUGUUAUACCGAUACGAUUGAGAUGCGAAUCGUGUGUAUCUUGUGGAAUUUAGACAUAAAAUGAGAAUUCAAUUCUU